AAGCCUGAUGCAGCCAUGCCGCGUGUAUGAAGAAGGCCUCGGGUUGUAAAGUACUUUCAGCAGUGAGGAAGGUGGGUAUGUUAAUAGCAUAUUCAUUUGACGUUAGCUGCAGAAGAAGCACCGGCUAACUCCGUGCCAGCAGCCGCGGUAAUACGGAGGGUGCGAGCGUUAAUCGGAAUUACUGGGCGUAAAGCGCAUGCAGGUGGUUUGUUAAGUCAGAUGUGAAAGCCCGGGGCUCAACCUCGGAAUUGCAUUUGAAACUGGCAAACUAGAGUACUGUAGAGGGGGUAGAAUUUCAGGUGUAGCGGUGAAAUGCGUAGAGAUCUGAAGGAAUACCGGUGGCGAAGGCGGCCCCCCUGGACAGAUACUGACACUCAGAUGCGAAAGCGUGGGGAGCAAACAGGAUUAGAUACCCUGGUAG
Molecule: ribosomal RNA, 421 nt
Filed under: uncultured bacterium
Lineage: Bacteria
Description: bacterial SSU rRNA
Rfam family: Bacterial small subunit ribosomal RNA
Source: RNAcentral